Molecule: ribosomal RNA, 349 nt
Filed under: Lactobacillus gasseri
Lineage: Bacteria; Bacillati; Bacillota; Bacilli; Lactobacillales; Lactobacillaceae
Description: bacterial SSU rRNA
Rfam family: Bacterial small subunit ribosomal RNA
Source: RNAcentral
GAAAAUGAGAGUUUGAUCCUGGCUCAGGACGAACGCUGGCGGCGUGCCUAAUACAAGCGAGCGGCGGACGGGUGAGUAACACGUGGGUAACCUGCCCAAGAGACUGGGAUAACACCUGGAAACAGAUGCUAAUACCGGAUAACAACACUAGACGCAUGUCUAGAGUUUAAAAGAUGGUUCUGCUAUCACUCUUGGAUGGACCUGCGGUGCAUUAGCUAGUUGGUAAGGUAACGGCUUACCAAGGCAAUGAUGCAUAGCCGAGUUGAGAGACUGAUCGGCCACAUUGGGACUGAGACACGGCCCAAACUCCUACGGGAGGCAGCAGUAGGGAAUCUUCCACAAUGGACGC